RNAcentral lists this ribosomal RNA (650 nucleotides) under uncultured bacterium. Its description in RNAcentral is "bacterial SSU rRNA". It matches the Rfam family "Bacterial small subunit ribosomal RNA", at positions 850 to 1501 of the family's 1533-position model. The record is from RNAcentral.
AGCUAACGCGUGAAGUAGACCGCCUGGGGAGUACGGUCGCAAGAUUAAAACUCAAAGGAAUUGACGGGGACCCGCACAAGCGGUGGAUGAUGUGGAUUAAUUCGAUGCAACGCGAAAAACCUUACCUACCCUUGACAUGUCAGGAAUCCUCGAGAGAUUGAGGAGUGCCCGAAAGGGAGCCUGAACACAGGUGCUGCAUGGCUGUCGUCAGCUCGUGUCGUGAGAUGUUGGGUUAAGUCCCGCAACGAGCGCAACCCUUGUCAUUAGUUGCUACGAAAGGGCACUCUAAUGAGACUGCCGGUGACAAACCGGAGGAAGGUGGGGAUGACGUCAAGUCCUCAUGGCCCUUACGCGCUGGGCUACACACGUGCUACAAUGGCGGUGACAGUGGGCAGCAAGCACGCGAGUGUGCGCUAAUCUCCAAAAGCCGUCUCAGUUCGGAUUGUUCUCUGCAACUCGAGAGCAUGAAGGCGGAAUCGCUAGUAAUCGCGGAUCAGCAUGCCGCGGUGAAUACGUUCCCAGGCCUUGUACACACCGCCCGUCACACCAUGGGAGUUGGGUUCACCCGAAGGCGUUGCGCUAACUCGGUAACGAGAGGCAGGCGACCACGGUGGGCUUAGCGACUGGGGUGAAGUCGUAACAAGGUAACC